CUCUAAGCAUCAGGUAACAUCAAAUCGUACCCCAAACCGACACAGGUGGUCAGGUAGAGAAUACCAAGGCGCUUGAGAGAACUCGGGUGAAGGAACUAGGCAAAAUGGUGCCGUAACUUCGGGAGAAGGCACGCUGGUGUGUAGGUGAAGCCCCUGCGGGUGGAGCUGAGACCAGUCGAAGAUACCAGCUGGCUGCAACUGUUUAUUAAAAACACAGCACUGUGCAAACACGAAAGUGGACGUAUACGGUGUGACGCCUGCCCGGUGCCGGAAGGUUAAUUGAUGGGGUUAUCCGUAAGGAGAAGCUCUU
This 310-nucleotide ribosomal RNA is filed under the name Klebsiella pneumoniae. RNAcentral's name for it is "bacterial LSU rRNA". It matches the Rfam family "Bacterial large subunit ribosomal RNA", at positions 1619 to 1909 of the family's 2925-position model. The record is from RNAcentral. Lineage: Bacteria; Pseudomonadati; Pseudomonadota; Gammaproteobacteria; Enterobacterales; Enterobacteriaceae.